RNAcentral lists this ribosomal RNA (768 nucleotides) under uncultured bacterium. RNAcentral's name for it is "bacterial SSU rRNA". It matches the Rfam family "Bacterial small subunit ribosomal RNA", at positions 38 to 804 of the family's 1533-position model. The record is from RNAcentral.
GGCGGCGUGCUUAACACAUGCAAGUCGAACGACUCGGUUACAGGGAUUCCCUUCGGGGAGGAACGGUAAUUGUCUGAGUGGCGGACGGGUGAGUAACGCGUGGGCAACCUGCCCCAUAUCGGGGGAUAACAGCCGGAAACGGCUGCUAAUACCGCAUACGCCCAGGAGGCUGCAUAGCUUCCUGGGGAAAACUCCGGUGGUAUGGGAUGGGCCCGCGUCUGAUUAGCUCGUUGGCGGGGUAACGGCCCACCAAGGCGACGAUCAGUAGCCGGCCUGAGAGGGCGGCCGGCCACAUUGGGACUGAGACACGGCCCAGACUCCUGCGGGAGGCAGCAGUGGGGAAUAUUGCACAAUGGGGGAAACCCUGAUGCAGCGACGCCGCGUGAGCGAUGAAGUAUCUCGGUAUGUAAAGCUCUAUCAGCAGGGAAGAAAGUGACAGUACCUGACUAAGAAGCCCCGGCUAACUACGUGCCAGCAGCCGCGGUAAUACGUAGGGGGCAAGCGUUAUCCGGAUUCACUGGGCGUAAAGGGAGCGCAGGCGGCACGGCAAGUCUGGUGUGAAAACCCGGGGCUCAACCCCGGGACUGCAUUGGAAACUGCCGGGCUGGAGUGUCGGAGGGGUAAGCGGAAUUCCUAGUGUAGCGGUGAAAUGCGUAGAUAUUAGGAGGAACACCAGUGGCGAAGGCGGCUUACUGGACGAUGACUGACGCUGAGGCUCGAAAGCGUGGGGAGCAAACAGGAUUAGAUACCCUGGUAGUCCACGCCGUA